RNAcentral lists this ribosomal RNA (483 nucleotides) under uncultured bacterium. RNAcentral's name for it is "partial 16S ribosomal RNA". It matches the Rfam family "Bacterial small subunit ribosomal RNA", at positions 30 to 507 of the family's 1533-position model. The record is from RNAcentral.
AUUGAACGCUGGCGGCAGGCCUAACACAUGCAAGUCGAGCGGAUGAAGGGAGCUUGCUCCUGGAUUCAGCGGCGGACGGGUGAGUAAUGCCUAGGAAUCUGCCUGGUAGUGGGGGAUAACGUCCGGAAACGGGCGCUAAUACCGCAUACGUCCUGAGGGAGAAAGUGGGGGAUCUUCGGACCUCACGCUAUCAGAUGAGCCUAGGUCGGAUUAGCUAGUUGGUGGGGUAAAGGCCUACCAAGGCGACGAUCCGUAACUGGUCUGAGAGGAUGAUCAGUCACACUGGAACUGAGACACGGUCCAGACUCCUACGGGAGGCAGCAGUGGGGAAUAUUGGACAAUGGGCGAAAGCCUGAUCCAGCCAUGCCGCGUGGGUGAAGAAGGUCUUCGGAUUGUAAAGCACUUUAAGUUGGGGGAAGGGCAGUAAGUUAAUACCUUGCUGUUUUGACGUUACCAACAGAAUAAGCACCGGCUAACUUCGUG